CUGGGGAUCUGCCCGAUAGAGGGGGAUAACCACUGGAAACGGUGGCUAAUACCGCAUAACGUCGCAAGACCAAAGAGGGGGACCUUCGGGCCUCUCACUAUCGGAUGAACCCAUAUGGGAUUAGCUAGUAGGCGGGGUAAUGGCCCACCUACGCGACGAUCCCUAUCUGGUCUGAGAGGAUGACCACCCACACUGGAACUGACACACGGUCCACACUCCUACGGGAGGCAGCAGUGGGGAAUAUUGCACAAUGGGCGCAAGCCUGAUGCACCCAUGCCGCGUGUAUGAAAAAGGCCUUCGGGUUGUAAAGUACUUUCAGCGGGGAAGAAGGCGGUGCGGUUAAUAACCGCGUCUAUUGACGUUACCCGCAAAAGAAGCACCGGCUAACUCCGUGCCAGCACCCGCGGUAAUACAGAGGGUGCAAGCGUUAAUC
RNAcentral lists this ribosomal RNA (433 nucleotides) under Pantoea sp. F121. RNAcentral describes it as "bacterial SSU rRNA". It matches the Rfam family "Bacterial small subunit ribosomal RNA", at positions 117 to 546 of the family's 1533-position model. Lineage: Bacteria; Pseudomonadati; Pseudomonadota; Gammaproteobacteria; Enterobacterales; Erwiniaceae. The record is from RNAcentral.